GAACCCUUGGCACAGUGGUAGCGCGUGAGAUUCCAGGCAGUGGAGCAAUCCACUCAAGGGGAUUCCUCAAGGUCGUCCGUUCGAUCCGGGCAGGGUUCA
Non-coding RNA from Trametes maxima, 99 nucleotides. Lineage: Eukaryota; Fungi; Basidiomycota; Agaricomycetes; Polyporales; Polyporaceae. The record is from the annotation of a GenBank genome assembly.